Molecule: ribosomal RNA, 1402 nt
Filed under: Salmonella enterica
Lineage: Bacteria; Pseudomonadati; Pseudomonadota; Gammaproteobacteria; Enterobacterales; Enterobacteriaceae
Description: partial 23S ribosomal RNA
Rfam family: Bacterial large subunit ribosomal RNA
Source: RNAcentral
GGCGGGACACGUGGUAUCCUGUCUGAAUAUGGGGGGACCAUCCUCCAAGGCUAAAUACUCCUGACUGACCGAUAGUGAACCAGUACCGUGAGGGAAAGGCGAAAAGAACCCCGGCGAGGGGAGUGAAAAAGAACCUGAAACCGUGUACGUACAAGCAGUGGGAGCCCCACCACUAAGCCAGUGGUGAACUCCACAUACGCAUCCUUUGCUGAAGGCAAUGGUUAACGGAGCGAAAGCGACGUUCAACCGCAAAACAAGCAGAGGGGGCUUAGUGGUGGGGUGACUGCGUACCUUUUGUAUAAUGGGUCAGCGACUUAUAUUCUGUAGCAAGGUUAACCGUAUAGGGGAGCCGGAGGGAAACCGAGUCUUAAUUGGGCGUUAAGUUGCAGGGUAUAGACCCGAAACCCGGUGAUCUAGCCAUGGGCAGGUUGAAGGUUGGGUAACACUAACUGGAGGACCGAACCGACUAAUGUUGAAAAAUUAGCGGAUGACCUGUGGCUGGGGGUGAAAGGCCAAUCAAACCGGGAGAUAGCUGGUUCUCCCCGAAAGCUAUUUAGGUAGCGCCUCGUGAAUUCAUCUCCGGGGGUAGAGCACUGUUUCGGCUAGGGGGCCAUCCCGGCUUACCAACCCGAUGCAAACUGCGAAUACCGGAGAAUGUUAUCACGGGAGACACACGGCGGGUGCUAACGUCCGUCGUGAAGAGGGAAACAACCCAGACCGCCAGCUAAGGUCCCAAAGUCAUGGUUAAGUGGGAAACGAUGUGGGAAGGCCCAGACAGCCAGGAUGUUGGCUUAGAAGCAGCCAUCAUUUAAAGAAAGCGUAAUAGCUCACUGGUCGAGUCGGCCUGCGCGGAAGAUGUAACGGGGCUAAACCAUGCACCGAAGCUGCGGCAGCGAACGUAUCACUUAAAGCGAUUCAGCGGGUUACGAUUGACGGAGCGAAGCGACGUCAAAGCGUAUACAAAGUCGAGUCGGUUUAAGGAUACGUUCGUUGGGUAGGGGAGCGUUCUGUAAGCCUGCGAAGGUGGCCUGUGAGGGUUGCUGGAGGUAUCAGAAGUGCGAAUGCUGACAUAAGUAACGAUAAAGCGGGUGAAAAGCCCGCUCGCCGGAAGACCAAGGGUUCCUGUCCAACGUUAAUCGGGGCAGGGUGAGUCGACCCCUAAGGCGAGGCCGAAAGGCGUAGUCGAUGGGAAACGGGUUAAUAUUCCCGUACUUGGUGUUACUGCGAAGGGGGGACGGAGAAGGCUAUGUUGGCCGGGCGACGGUUGUCCCGGUUUAAGCGUGUAGGCUGGUUUUCCAGGCAAAUCCGGAAAAUCAAGGCUGAGGCGUGACGACGAGGCACUACGGUGCUGAAGCAACAAAUGCCCUGCUUCCAGGAAAAGCCUCUAAGCAUCAGGUAACAC